GACGAACGCUGGCGGCGUGCCUAACACAUGCAAGUCGAACGCGAAAGCCCCUUCGGGGGUAAGUAGAGUGGCGUCCGGGUGAGUAACACGUGGGUAAUCUGCCUUCGGGUGGGGAAUAACCCAGGGAAACUUGGGCUAAUACCGCAUAAUGCAGCGGCACCUAAUGGUGAUUAGUUGUUAAAGCGGGGGAUCGCAAGACCUCGCGCCUGAAGAGGAGCCUGCGGCAGAUUAGCUAGUUGGUGAGGAAUGGCUCACCAAGGCUUCGAUCUGUAGCUGGUCUGAGAGGACGGCCAGCCACACUGGCACUGACACACGGGCCAGACUCCUACGGGAGGCAGCAGUGGGGAAUUUUGGGCAAUGGGCGAAAGCCUGACCCAGCAACGCCGCGUGAAGGAUGAAAUCCCUCGGGAUGUAAACUUCGCAAGAACGGGAAGAAUAAGCGAGAGUUAAUAUCUUUCGUGA
This 462-nucleotide ribosomal RNA is filed under the name uncultured bacterium. RNAcentral's name for it is "bacterial SSU rRNA". It matches the Rfam family "Bacterial small subunit ribosomal RNA", at positions 28 to 472 of the family's 1533-position model. The record is from RNAcentral.